This 543-nucleotide ribosomal RNA is filed under the name uncultured archaeon. Its description in RNAcentral is "bacterial SSU rRNA". It matches the Rfam family "Archaeal small subunit ribosomal RNA", at positions 326 to 871 of the family's 1478-position model. The record is from RNAcentral.
CGGGGUGCACCAGGCGCGAAACCUCUGCAAUAGGCGAAAGCCUGACAGGGUUACUCUGAGUGAUUCCCGCUAAGGGGAUCUUUUGGCACCUCUAAAAAUGGUGCAGAAUAAGGGGUGGGCAAGCCUGGCGUCAGCCGCCGCGGUAAUACCAGCACCCCGAGUGGUCGGGACGAUUAUUGGGCCUAAAGCAUCCGUAGCCGGCCACGCAAGUCCUCCGUUAAAUCCACCCGCUCAACGGUUGGGCUGCGGAGGAUACUACGUGGCUAGGAGGCGGGAGAGGCAAGCGGUACUCAAUGGGUAGGGGUAAAAUCCUUUGAUCCAUUGAAGACCACCAGUGGCGAAGGCGGCUUGCCAGAACGCGCUCGACGGUGAGGGAUGAAAGCUGGGGGAGCAAACCGGAUUAGAUACCCGGGUAGUCCCAGCUGUAAACGAUGCAGACUCGGUGAUGGGAUGGCCUCGAGCCAUCCCAGUGCCGCAGGGAAGCCGUUAAGUCUGCCGCCUGGGGAGUACGGUCGCAAGACUGAAACUUAAAGGAAUUGGCGG